Molecule: ribosomal RNA, 501 nt
Filed under: uncultured bacterium
Lineage: Bacteria
Description: partial 16S ribosomal RNA
Rfam family: Bacterial small subunit ribosomal RNA
Source: RNAcentral
ACUCAAAGGAAUUGACGGGGGCCCGCACAAGCGGUGGAACAUGUGGUUUAAUUCGACGCAACGCGAAGAACCUUACCUGGGCUUGAACUACAGAUGGUAGGUCCUUGGAAACAGGGGCCGACCCGCAAGGGAGUCUGCAGAGGUGCUGCAUGGUUGUCGUCAGCUCGUGUCGUGAGAUGUUGGGUUAAGUCCCGCAACGAGCGCAACCCCCAUCCAAUGUUGCUAAUCCCGUAAGGGAUGCACUCUUUGGAAACUGCCUUCGAUAAGAAGGAGGAAGGUGGGGACGACGUCAAAUCCUCAUGGCCCUUAUGUCCAGGGCCACACACGUGUUACAAUGGCCGGUACAGUGGGAAGCAAUACCGUAAGGUGGAGCCAAACCUCAAAGCCGGCCCCAGUUCAGAUUGUGGGCUGCAACUCGCCCACAUGAAGGCGGAAUCGCUAGUAAUCGCUGAUCAGCAGGCAGCGGUGAAUACGUUCCCGGGCCUUGCACACACCGCCCGU